This 484-nucleotide ribosomal RNA is filed under the name uncultured bacterium. RNAcentral describes it as "partial 16S ribosomal RNA". It matches the Rfam family "Bacterial small subunit ribosomal RNA", at positions 30 to 507 of the family's 1533-position model. The record is from RNAcentral.
AUUGAACGCUGGCGGCAUGCUUUACACAUGCAAGUCGAACGGCAGCGCGGGCUUCGGCCUGGCGGCGAGUGGCGAACGGGUGAGUAAUACAUCGGAACGUGCUCAGUAGUGGGGGAUAGCUCGGCGAAAGCCGGAUUAAUACCGCAUACGACCUGAGGGUGAAAGCGGGGGAUCUUCGGACCUCGCGCUAUUGUAGCGGCCGAUGGCAGAUUAGCUAGUUGGUGGGGUAAAGGCCUACCAAGGCGACGAUCUGUAGCUGGUCUGAGAGGACGACCAGCCACACUGGGACUGAGCCACGGCCCAGACUCCUACGGGAGGCAGCAGUGGGGAAUUUUGGACAAUGGGCGAAAGCCUGAUACAGCAAUGCCGCGUGUGUGAUGAAGGCCUUCGGGUUGUAAAGCACUUUUGGCGGGAACGAAAAGGACUGUGCCAAUACCACGGUUCGAUGACGGUACCCGCAGAAUAAGCACCGGCUAACUACGUG